GAUGAACGCUGGCGGCGUGCCUAAUACAUGCAAGUCGAGCGAACAGACGAGGAGCUUGCUCCUCUGACGUUAGCGGCGGACGGGUGAGUUACACGUGGAUAACCUACCUAUAAGACUGUGAUAACUUCGGGAAACCGGAGCUAAUACCGGAUAAUAUAUUGAACCGCAUGGUUCAAUAGUGAAAGACGGUUUUGCUGUCACUUAUAGAUGGAUCCGCUCCGCAUUAGCUAGUUGGUAAGGUAACGGCUUACCAAGGCAACGAUGCGUAGCCGACCUGAGAGGGUGAUCGGCCACACUGGAACUGAGACACGGUCCAGACUCCUACGGGAGGCAGCAGUAGGGAAUCUUCCGCAAUGGGCGAAAGCUUGACGGAGCAACGCCGCGUGAGUGAUGAAGGUCUUCGGAUCGUAAAGCUCUGUUAUUAGGGAAGAACAAAUGUGUAAGUAACUAUGCACGUCUUGACGGUACCUAAUCAGAAAGCCACGGCUAACUACGUG
This 497-nucleotide ribosomal RNA is filed under the name uncultured bacterium. Its description in RNAcentral is "partial 16S ribosomal RNA". It matches the Rfam family "Bacterial small subunit ribosomal RNA", at positions 28 to 507 of the family's 1533-position model. The record is from RNAcentral.